Passer domesticus (house sparrow) is the source of this 1632-nucleotide long non-coding RNA. RefSeq lists it as uncharacterized. The transcript is spliced from 4 exons. NCBI's taxonomy places the organism in Eukaryota, Metazoa, Chordata, Aves, Passeriformes, Passeridae. The record is from RefSeq and is a predicted model, not a curated record.
AUUUGGUUUGGGAGGAGUCACAAGGAGGGACAGGACCUUAUUUUUGAGAAUGUAGGCUGUGUCAUCAUGCACUCUCCUCUGGCAGUCAUGGCAGAGGCUGGGUGGUCACCUGGGAGGAGGUUGUGCAGUAUGGUGUGCCAAGGAAAAGAGAGACAGAGAGACCUGAAUUUGUCAUGUCCAUUCACAAGAUGCUCCUGCAAGUUGUCCAGCAUGAGCCAAUGGACCUUGUGUUUUCUCUGUGGGACACAGAGGACAGCCUCUUGGGAAAGGGUGACUCAGGCCCAUCAGUGCUUUGAUCAGCUUGGAGCCAGCACUGGCAAAACUUCAGAGAGCCCUGGAUUACCUGGGAAGGUGCAGAUAACAGUGAAUGAAACAAGGUGUAUCUGAGGCACCCCAAGCCAACAAGCAAAGAAAAAGUAGCUGAGAGUGCAAAAAGGACAAAAAGGAGAUGUCUUGGAGAAAAAAGACAAGAAAUAGCCCACGGAACGAAAAACCCUCUAAGAGAACUAGAACAGGAGAGCAUGACAAUAGUUUUAUUUCUACAGUAUUUUGAACCGUAUGUUCAUCUGGGUCUCAGAAGCAGACAUUGUGAAUUUUCUGUGAAAAAGAUUUUAUUCUGUGCUGUUUAAACAGUUCCUAGCAGAGUGUUCCUGACCCCGUUAUGAGGAUGUGCUUUGGCAAAUAAAAACCAAGAAGAGAGUGUAGUUGGAGAUGAAAUGCUGAAAGUGGGCCUUGAUGCUCAGAAAAGAUGUUCCUUUGGUAUUUGUUUCUGUGUGUUACUAUUAUUAUUCCUUUAAGCAAACAAACACAUUAGUUCACCUCAUUAAAAUCAAAGAGAAAAAUCUGAGAAAUGUAGUUCAGCAGCCAAAGUCUCAAAAUCCACCUUGAAAUCUUUUUGGCUGUCUUCUCGAGGGAGGUGUAAAUCUUCCUUUUGUUGGCUUUUAUUUCUGAAUUUGGCUCUGCUCCUGGAAAUCUUUCCUGAGAGGCCUCCACUUGCUAUAAACGUUGCAAAAGAAGCCUCACAAUUUGCAAUGCCAUUCUAAUUAUUUUUCUGAUGGGCCAAGAAUCGCCUUGUGGCCGUCUGGGGAGAGCCUUGGUCCUGAAUUUCUAACUCAUCCCUUGGAAUCAUUCUGAACAUCGAGCACUCGCUGCCAAUCAAAACCACUGUGUACUCAGGGCUGGGCCUUCAGUCUGCCCAUGUCCCUGCAAACUCAACUGAGGAUUUCCAUCUGAUGGUUGUGAUGAAAUGCAGCAGAUUCCUUGCUGAGAAGGCAACAGGAAAAAGAGAUUAAAAAAACAAAUAGCAAGGGACAUGAAGGGAGGCUUGGGCAUAGGAAAUCAGGAAGAGUGACUGUAUCUUAUCUCUUACUUGUGCUCUUCUUCUGGGAUCCUGCUCUAAGAGGGGUCUGUACCCAAAUUUUGGAAAAACACCCAGUUGUCCACUGCACUCUUUUCCAAACAACAACAGAAGGAUUCUGGAGGGAAUGCAGUGACCUUUUUAAUAUAUAACUUUGCUUGGAUUAGUGGAUGGCCUGGGGUGCUUUUGAGAAAAAAUGCUGUCAGGAAAACACACCAAGGGCUCGGUGUCUCACAGCAGAUCAGAUCAUUUUGCGGUAACAAGGCAGGAAGUUC